GAUGAACGCUAGCUACAGGCUUAACACAUGCAAGUCGAGGGGAAACGAUGAGAGAGCUUGCUCUCUUAGUCGUCGACCGGCGCACGGGUGAGUAACGCGUAUCCAACCUGCCUCUGACCAAGGGAUAACCCGUCGAAAGUCGGACUAAUACCUUAUGCAGACGUCGGAAGUCAUCUGAUGACGACGAAAGAUUUCAUCGGUGAGAGAUGGGGAUGCGUCUGAUUAGCUUGUUGGCGGGGUAACGGCCCACCAAGGCGACGAUCAGUAGGGGUUCUGAGAGGAAGGUCCCCCACCUUGGAACUGCGACCCGGUCCAAACGCCUACGGGAUGCAGCAGUGACGAAUCUUGGUCAAUGGGCGUAAGCCUGAACCAGCCAAGUAGCGUGCAGGAUGACGGCCCUGUGUGUUGUAAACUGCUUUUAUGCGGGGAUAAAGUGAGGGACGUGUCCUUCAUUGCAGGUACCGCAUGAAUAAGGACCGGCUAAUUCCGUG
RNAcentral lists this ribosomal RNA (491 nucleotides) under uncultured bacterium. Its description in RNAcentral is "partial 16S ribosomal RNA". It matches the Rfam family "Bacterial small subunit ribosomal RNA", at positions 28 to 507 of the family's 1533-position model. The record is from RNAcentral.